CAAAAGAUAAGCUAAGUUUAAGCUAAUGGGUUCAUACCUCAUCUAUGGAUUAUUCCUCUUUUUA
This 64-nucleotide transfer RNA is filed under the name Tettigades undata. Its description in RNAcentral is "tRNA-Met". Lineage: Eukaryota; Metazoa; Arthropoda; Insecta; Hemiptera; Cicadidae. The record is from RNAcentral.